Molecule: non-coding RNA, 70 nt
Organism: Pelodiscus sinensis (Chinese soft-shelled turtle)
Lineage: Eukaryota; Metazoa; Chordata; Testudines; Trionychidae
Source: Ensembl
ACUUUUCUAAUAUAAUCAGUAUAAAUGACUUCCAAUCAUUUAGUUUCAGUUUUAAACCUGAAGAAAAGUA